GGGAAGGUAGCUCAGUGGUAGAGUGCAUGCCUUGCAAGCAUGGGGCCCUGGGUUCGAUUCCUCAGCACCA
Non-coding RNA from Dipodomys ordii (Ord's kangaroo rat), 70 nucleotides. The record is from Rfam. NCBI's taxonomy places the organism in Eukaryota, Metazoa, Chordata, Mammalia, Rodentia, Heteromyidae.